RNAcentral lists this ribosomal RNA (497 nucleotides) under uncultured bacterium. RNAcentral describes it as "partial 16S ribosomal RNA". It matches the Rfam family "Bacterial small subunit ribosomal RNA", at positions 28 to 507 of the family's 1533-position model. The record is from RNAcentral.
GAUGAACGCUGGCGGCGUGCCUAAUACAUGCAAGUCGAGCGAACAGACGAGGAGCUUGCUCCUCUGACGUUAGCGGCGGACGGGUGAGUAACACGUGGAUAACCGACCUAUAAGACUGGGAUAACUUCGGGAAACCGGAGCUAAUACCGGAUAAUAUAUUGAACCGCAUGGUUCAAUAGUGAAAGACGGUUUUGCUGUCACUUAUAGAUGGAUCCGCGCCGCAUUAGCUAGUUGGUAAGGUAACGGCUUACCAAGGCGACGAUGCGUAGCCGACCUGAGAGGGUGAUCAGCCACACUGGAACUGAGACACGGUCCAGACUCCUACGGGAGGCAGCAGUAGGGAAUCUUCCGCAAUGGGCGAAAGCCUGACGGAGCAACGCCGCGUGAGUGAUGAAGGUCUUCGGAUCGUAAAACUCUGUUAUUAGGGAAGAACAAAUGUGUAAGUAACUAUGCACGUCUUGACGGUACCUAAUCAGAAAGCCACGGCUAACUACGUG